UACGAAGGGGGCUAGCGUUGCUCGGAAUCACUGGGCGUAAAGCGCACGUAGGCGGAUUGCUAAGUCAGGGGUGAAAUCCUGGAGCUCAACUCCAGAACUGCCUUUGAUACUGGCGAUCUUGAGUCCGGGAGAGGUGAGUGGAACUGCGAGUGUAGAGGUGAAAUUCGUAGAUAUUCGCAAGAACACCAGUGGCGAAGGCGGCUCACUGGCCCGGUACUGACGCUCAGGCACGAAAGCGUGGGGAGCAAACAGG
Molecule: ribosomal RNA, 253 nt
Filed under: uncultured bacterium
Lineage: Bacteria
Description: partial 16S ribosomal RNA
Rfam family: Bacterial small subunit ribosomal RNA
Source: RNAcentral